Molecule: ribosomal RNA, 459 nt
Filed under: uncultured bacterium
Lineage: Bacteria
Description: partial 16S ribosomal RNA
Rfam family: Bacterial small subunit ribosomal RNA
Source: RNAcentral
CCUACGGGGGGCAGCAGUGAGGAAUAUUGGUCAAUGGGCGGAAGCCUGAACCAGCCAAGUAGCGUGCAGGAUGACGGCCCUACGGGUUGUAAACUGCUUUUAUACGGGAAUAACGCGCCUUACGGGUAUGGCUUUGCAUUUACCGUAUGAAUAAGGACCGGCUAAUUCCGUUCAAGCAGCCGCGGUAAUACGGAAGGUCCGGGCGUUGUCCGGAUUUAGUGGGUUAAAAGGGUGCGCAGGCGGUCUGUUAAGUCAGCGGUGAAAUCCCGGGGCUCAACCCCGGCCCGCCGUUGAAACUGGCAGUCUCGAGUUGGAGAGAAGUAUGCGGAAUGCGCGGUGUAGCGGUGAAAUGCAUAGAUAUCGCGCAGAACUCCGAUUGCGAAGGCAGCAUGCCGGCUCCACACUGACGCUGAGGCACGAAAGCGUGGGUAUCGAACAGGAUUAGAUACCCCAGUAGUC